This 872-nucleotide ribosomal RNA is filed under the name uncultured bacterium. RNAcentral describes it as "bacterial SSU rRNA". It matches the Rfam family "Bacterial small subunit ribosomal RNA", at positions 335 to 1189 of the family's 1533-position model. The record is from RNAcentral.
ACUCCUACGGGAGGCAGCAGUCGAGGAUCAUUCGCAAUGCGCGAAAGCGUGACGAUGCGACGCUGCGUGGGGGAUGAAGGCCUUCGGGUCGUAAACUCCUGUCAUGAGGGAAAAGUAUCCCUGCGAUGAAUAAUCGCGGGGCUCGAUGGUACCUCAAGAGGAAGCCACGGCUAACUCUGUGCCAGCAGCCGCGGUAAUGCAGAGGUGGCGAGCGUUGUUCGGAUUUACUGGGCGUAAAGGGUGCGUAGGUGGUUUUGUGUGUCGGAUGUGAAAGCCCAUGGCUCAACCGUGGAAUUGCAUUCGAAACUGCAGAACUAGAGUGCAGGAUGGGAGAGCGGAAUUCUUGGUGUAGCGGUGAAAUGCGUUGAUAUCAAGAAGAACACCGGUGGCGAAGGCGGCUCUCUGGAAUGCUACUGACACUGAGGCACGAAAGCUGGGGGAGCAAACAGGAUUAGAUACCCUGGUAGUCCCAGCCGUAAACGGUGCACACUUGGUGUGGGGAGAUUUAACCCUCUCCGUGCCGGAGCUAACGCGUUAAGUGUGCCGCCUGGGGAGUACGGCCGCAAGGCUAAAACUCAAAGAAAUUGACGGGGGCCCGCACAAGCGGAGGAGCAUGUGGCUUAAUUCGAUGCAACGCGAAGAACCUUACCAGGGCUUGACAUAUACCUGCAAACCCCCUGAAAGGGGGGAAUCCUUCGAGGGUGGUAUACAGGUGCUGCAUGGCUGUCGUCAGUUCGUGCCGUGAGGUGUUGGGUUAAGUCCCGUAACGAACGCAACCCUUGUGACUAGUUGCCACCGGCGGUGAUGAGCCGCCGAGCACUCUAGUCANACUGCCCGUACAAGCGGGAGANNGNNNGGGGNNNGANNUCAAG